AAGGAUUUAAGUUAAACAAAUAAACUAACAACCUUCAAAGUUGUAAAUAGAGCACUCUAAGCCUUA
RNAcentral lists this transfer RNA (66 nucleotides) under Tenebrionoidea sp. 11 KM-2017. RNAcentral describes it as "tRNA-Trp". The record is from RNAcentral. Lineage: Eukaryota; Metazoa; Arthropoda; Insecta; Coleoptera.